Molecule: unclassified non-coding RNA, 1250 nt
Filed under: Portunus trituberculatus (swimming crab)
Lineage: Eukaryota; Metazoa; Arthropoda; Malacostraca; Decapoda; Portunidae
Description: uncharacterized LOC123509295, transcript variant X2
Source: RNAcentral
UAUGGGUAGAGAAGGCCUAUUUUUACUUCUUCUAAUGGUGGCAACUGCUUCCUGUAAAUUUUAUAUGUUCCAUCCCAAAGGACAGUCAUGCACUGAUGCCUCGACGGAAGAAGAGAAUGAACUGUACCUAGGAGAGUUUGUGCUGGUUCCUGGAGGGGUCCUGCGAGUGGUGUCAGUGGUGGGAUCAGACUUCGCUGCCUCCAUUCGCUUCUUCAUCUGUCCUCAAGAAGUACCUCUCGAUUAUCAUGGAUCGUGGAGGUUUAACUGCAGUGACAGGAUACCACUACAAGUGAAGAACGACCCGUACCUCUCUCAACUCGACACCAGACUGAUACACUACAAAAACAUGACAGUGACACAGCUUCAAUUGCCAGACGGCUUCACAUGUCUUCGCUGUGGCCUGCAGGCAGAGGUGGCGCACUUACCAUGUCGAAACUGUCCACCAACCUACCUAGAGGACUCCUGCACCUUCCUCUCCAUUGGCCAAAUAUGGAACAAGGAACCUAUUGAGAGGGAUACAUACUACCCAUACUACUAGCACUUUGAGACGGAAGAUACCUCGGGAGAUGAUACACGACACAUGACACUCGACAUGACACUCGACACGACACUUGACAGACAGACACACACUGGUAUCAUUCGUGUAGUCAAUUAUGAAAUUUUUAUAUUAAUUGCACUUCGAGAUGGAUGAUACUUGACACUCGACACGACACUUGACAGACAGACACACACUGGUAUCAUUCGUGGUCAAUUAUGAAAUUUUUGUAUUAAUUGCACUUCAAGAUGGAUGAUACUUGACACUCGACACAUGACACUCGACAUGACACUUGACAGACAGACACACACUGGUAUCAUUCGUGCAGUCAAUUUUGAAACUUCUGUAUUAAUUGCACUUCAAGAUGGAUGAUACUUGACACUCGACACAUGACACACAAUACUUGAUAGACACAUGCUGGUAUCAUUCCUGCAGUCAAUUGUGACACUUCUGUAUUAACUGUGCUUUGAGAAGGAAAAUACCAUGGCAGAUGACACUUGACACUCGACACAUGACAUUUGACACACUUGAUACUUGGACACACACUAGUAUCAUUCCUGCAGUCAUUAUGAAACUUCUGUAUUAACUAUGCUUUGGGACGGAAGAUACCAUGGCAGAUGACACUUGACACUUGACACAUGACACACGACACUUGAUAUUUGAUGGACACACACUGGUAUCCUUCCUGCAGUUGAUUAUAAAACUCCUGAUAGAC